This 72-nucleotide transfer RNA is filed under the name Danionella translucida. It matches the Rfam family "tRNA". Rfam says of the family: Transfer RNA (tRNA) molecules are approximately 80 nucleotides in length. Their secondary structure includes four short double-helical elements and three loops (D, anti-codon, and T loops). Lineage: Eukaryota; Metazoa; Chordata; Actinopteri; Cypriniformes; Danionidae. RNAcentral also lists the same sequence under 1 other name. The record is from Rfam by way of RNAcentral.
GGCUCGUUGGUCUAGGGGUAUGAUUCUUGCUUUGGGUGCGAGAGGUCCCGGGUUCAUAUCCCGGACAAGCCC